Molecule: ribosomal RNA, 313 nt
Filed under: Sungaya sp. SB0134
Lineage: Eukaryota; Metazoa; Arthropoda; Insecta; Phasmatodea; Heteropterygidae
Description: partial 12S ribosomal RNA
Source: RNAcentral
CCCAAAGAAUUUGGCGGUGCUUUAUUCCAUUCAGAGGAACUUGUCCCGUGAUCGAUAAUCCUCGUUUUAUCUUACUUGAUUUAAUUAGUAUGUAUACCGCCGUUAUAGGUUUAUUUUUUUAGAUUUAUUUACUAUUAAUUUUAUUAAAUUUUAUUUCAGGUCAAGGUGCAGCUUAUGAUUAAGUGGUGAUGAGUUACAAUAUUAUUUCAAUAAAUGGAUUCUUUUUUUGAAAUUUUUGAUGAAGGUGGAUUUGAUAGUAAUUUUUAUUAUAAAGUUGUUUUGAUUUUGGCUCUAGAGCAAGUACACAUCGCCC